This 423-nucleotide ribosomal RNA is filed under the name uncultured bacterium. RNAcentral describes it as "bacterial SSU rRNA". It matches the Rfam family "Bacterial small subunit ribosomal RNA", at positions 355 to 775 of the family's 1533-position model. The record is from RNAcentral.
UGAGGAAUAUUGGUCAAUGGGCGCAAGCCUGAACCAGCCAUCCCGCGUGAAGGAUGACGGCCCUAUGGGUUGUAAACUUCUUUUCUGUGCAAAGAAACUUACCCUCGUGAGGGUAGCUGACGGUAGUACAGGAAUAAGGAUCGGCUAACUCCGUGCCAGCAGCCGCGGUAAUACGGAGGAUCCAAGCGUUAUCCGGAUUUAUUGGGUUUAAAGGGUGCGUAGGCGGACUUGUAAGUCAGUGGUGAAAUCCUGCAGCUUAACUGUAGAACUGCCAUUGAUACUGCUAGUCUUGAGUACAGUUGAGGUAGGCGGAAUGUGUAGUGUAGCGGUGAAAUGCUUAGAUAUUACACAGAACACCGAUUGCGAAGGCAGCUUGCCAAGCUGUUACUGACGCUGAUGCACGAAAGCGUGGGGAUCGAACAG